GGUGCAUCGAACCGUCUGAUUAAUGGUUGGUCUAGAUAUUGUCAUGUAUCAUCAUCUGAUAAAUCUUCGAUUCGAUCACCUUCAUCUCGACCGUUGAGGGAUCCUAUAUAUAUAGGAUUACUCUCAACCAAACUUCUACUUUUUAUUUUGUCUUUCUUGAUGUUGAAACUCUGUCAGACGGUCGCCCCAGCAUCUGAGGUUGUUAUUCCCAUCUUUUUCAGGUCAAAUUUCUGUCUCUCCUUGAGUCCCUUUUCUUUUAGAAUCUCCAUCUUCUUUAGAGUC
Molecule: long non-coding RNA, 282 nt
Filed under: Elaeis guineensis (African oil palm)
Lineage: Eukaryota; Viridiplantae; Streptophyta; Magnoliopsida; Arecales; Arecaceae
Description: long non-coding RNA (EGUI_LNC016604)
Source: RNAcentral